Molecule: ribosomal RNA, 200 nt
Filed under: uncultured organism
Description: partial small subunit ribosomal RNA
Rfam family: Bacterial small subunit ribosomal RNA
Source: RNAcentral
GUCAAGUCAUCAUGGCCCUUACGUCCAGGGCGACACACGUGCUACAAUGGCCGGUACAAAGCGUCGCCAACCCGCGAGGGUGAGCCAAUCGCUAAAAGCCGGUCUAAGUUCGGAUUGUAGUCUGCAACCCGACUACAUGAAGCCGGAAUCGCUAGUAAUCGUGGAUCAGCCAUGCCACGGUGAAUACGUUCCCGGGCCUU